This 260-nucleotide ribosomal RNA is filed under the name Pseudomonas helmanticensis. RNAcentral describes it as "partial 16S ribosomal RNA". It matches the Rfam family "Bacterial small subunit ribosomal RNA", at positions 521 to 780 of the family's 1533-position model. The record is from RNAcentral. Lineage: Bacteria; Pseudomonadati; Pseudomonadota; Gammaproteobacteria; Pseudomonadales; Pseudomonadaceae.
UAAUACAGAGGGUGCAAGCGUUAAUCGGAAUUACUGGGCGUAAAGCGCGCGUAGGUGGUUCGUUAAGUUGGAUGUGAAAUCCCCGGGCUCAACCUGGGAACUGCAUUCAAAACUGUCGAGCUAGAGUAUGGUAGAGGGUGGUGGAAUUUCCUGUGUAGCGGUGAAAUGCGUAGAUAUAGGAAGGAACACCAGUGGCGAAGGCGACCACCUGGACUGAUACUGACACUGAGGUGCGAAAGCGUGGGGAGCAAACAGGAUUA